UGGGGAAUUUUGGACAAUGGGGGCAACCCUGAUCCAGCCAUGCCGCGUGAGUGAAGAAGGCCUUCGGGUUGUAAAGCUCUUUCGGCCGGGAAGAAAUCGCUUCGGCUAAUACCUGGAGUGGAUGACGGUACCGGAAGAAGAAGCACCGGCUAACUACGUGCCAGCAGCCGCGGUAAUACGUAGGGUGCGAGCGUUAAUCGGAAUUACUGGGCGUAAAGGGUGCGCAGGCGGUUUUGUAAGUCAGAUGUGAAAUCCCCGGGCUUAACCUGGGAAUGGCGUUUGAAACUGCAAGGCUAGAGUGUAGCAGAGGGGAAUGGAAUUCCGCGUGUAGCAGUGAAAUGCGUAGAUAUGCGGAGGAACACCGAUGGCGAAGGCAGCUCCCUGGGCUAACACUGACGCUCA
Molecule: ribosomal RNA, 402 nt
Filed under: uncultured bacterium
Lineage: Bacteria
Description: bacterial SSU rRNA
Rfam family: Bacterial small subunit ribosomal RNA
Source: RNAcentral